ACGUCUACAUUAGACUACCCCUGUAGUCCCAGCCGUAAACUAUGCGCGUUAGGUGUAUCGGUGACCACGAGUUACCGAGGUGCCGAAGGGAAACCGUGAAACGUGCCGCCUGGGAAGUACGGUCGCAAGGCUAGAAACUUAAAGGAAUUGGCGGGGAGCACCACAACGGGUGGAGCCUGCGGUUUAAUUGGACUCAACGCCGGGAAGCUCACCGGAUAAGACAGCGGAAUGAUUGCCGGGCUGAAGACUCUGCAUGACUAGCUG
Molecule: ribosomal RNA, 264 nt
Filed under: uncultured archaeon
Lineage: Archaea
Description: partial 16S ribosomal RNA
Rfam family: Archaeal small subunit ribosomal RNA
Source: RNAcentral